GAGACUUCGGUUGAGAGAGAGAGAGAGAGAGAGAGAGAGAGAGAGAGCGAGAGAGAGACAGAGACAGAGAGGAUGAGAACCACUGCGUGAGAUGGAUUUAAGAAAGUUAUUCGCCUGCAGCAGAGAAGCAGCAGGAAUGAGAGAUGUGUCCCCCAGUACAGUAUUAGGUCUAGUGACGCCCCUGGUGUGACGUCAUGGGUUGUGGAGCUCCUCACCUCUGAACAUUGGUUACAAUCAUGGCCACCAGCAGCGAGAGCGACUCGGACCGAGAAAGCGAGGAUUUUUCCAUUAAUUUGAGCGAGGACGAAAGAUUCGUGGAUGAGGAAUGUGAGAGUGAAGGACUGGGGGGGGGAAAAAAAGACUAUACAGCGGGAGCGAUUCAGAUGUUAUUAAACAAAUAUACUAGGAUAAUUCUGGAAAAACCCUUAUCUGCUUAUUGUGUUACUAGUGUUUUAGUGAGAUUAUAUGGUCGUACCUGUACAACCUGAAGGUCGGCCCCGUACCUUUCUUCAGCACCAGUCGACGGGUGGUGGCGAUGCCCAUCUCUGCCCUUCGAA
This is a long non-coding RNA of Nerophis ophidion (straightnose pipefish), 557 nucleotides long. RefSeq lists it as uncharacterized. The transcript is spliced from 3 exons. The record is from RefSeq and is a predicted model, not a curated record. NCBI's taxonomy places the organism in Eukaryota, Metazoa, Chordata, Actinopteri, Syngnathiformes, Syngnathidae.